GAUGAACGCUGGCGGCGUGCCUAAUACAUGCAAGUCGAACGAUGAGGAUCUAGCUUGGUAGAUCGCACGAGUGGCGAACGGGUGAGUAAUACAUAAGUAACCUACCCAUGAAGACUGGGAAACUUUCUGGAAAAGGGGCUUAAUACCGGGAAGAUAUUCGGAAGCCAUUUUCUGGUUAUUAAAGGUCGACAACUCUGGUGGAUGGGCUGGUGGCGCAUUCGUUAGUUGGUGUGGUAACGGCCCACCGAGUUGAUGAUGCGUAGGCGGUCUGGGGGGGUGGACCGCCAGAUGGGGACCGGGACACGUCCCACAGUGCUACGGCAGGCAGCAGUAGGGGAUGUACGGGAAGGGAGGCAACCCUGACCGAGCGACGCCGGGUGAGGGAAGGCGGCGUUCGGGAUGCAAAGCUCUGUGGUAAGAGAAGAACUGUAGAUAGAGAAUAUCUAAGUGACGGUACCUGAUCAGAAAGCCACGGCUAACUACGUG
This 486-nucleotide ribosomal RNA is filed under the name uncultured bacterium. Its description in RNAcentral is "partial 16S ribosomal RNA". It matches the Rfam family "Bacterial small subunit ribosomal RNA", at positions 28 to 507 of the family's 1533-position model. The record is from RNAcentral.